RNAcentral lists this ribosomal RNA (432 nucleotides) under Eremobates coahuilanus. RNAcentral describes it as "partial 16S ribosomal RNA". It matches the Rfam family "Bacterial large subunit ribosomal RNA", at positions 1914 to 2571 of the family's 2925-position model. Lineage: Eukaryota; Metazoa; Arthropoda; Arachnida; Solifugae; Eremobatidae. The record is from RNAcentral.
AAUGAUUGAUUUAAUAGCCGCAGUAUCUUGACUGUGCAAAGGUAGCAUAAUAAAUUGUCUUUUGAUUGGAGACUGGAAUGAAUGAUGGGAUGUGAUGAAUGCUGUCUUUAUAGUAAUUGAUUGAAAUUUACUUUUUUAUGAGAAGGUUGAGAUUUAGUUGGUAGACGAGAAGACCCUAUCAAGCUUUAUUUUGGGAUUGGCUUUGCUUUAUUCAUUGGUGGGUGGGCUGUGAUUAGAAUUUUGUUGGGGCAAUGUUUGAAUAUUAUGGAAUUUUUUAUUUUGUGUUAGGAUUUGAUCCAUCUUUGGUGAUUGAAGGAGUAAGUUACUGUAGGGAUAACAGCGUAAUUAAUUUGGAGAGUUCAUAUUGGUAAAUUGGAUUGCGACCUCGAUGUUGGUUUAGUGAUUCUUUAAGGUGUAGCAGUUUUAUAAGAG